This 451-nucleotide ribosomal RNA is filed under the name uncultured prokaryote. Its description in RNAcentral is "bacterial SSU rRNA". It matches the Rfam family "Bacterial small subunit ribosomal RNA", at positions 355 to 796 of the family's 1533-position model. The record is from RNAcentral.
UGGGGAAUUUUGCGCAAUGGACGAAAGUCUGACGCAGCGACGCCGCGUGCGGGAGGAAGCCUUUCGGGGUGUAAACCGCUGUCAGGAGGGAAGAACACCGACUGUGCAAAUAGCGCUAUCGGCUGACGGUACCUCCAGAGGAAGCACCGGCUAACUCCGUGCCAGCAGCCGCGGUAAUACGGAGGGUGCAAGCGUUGUUCGGAAUUACUGGGCGUAAAGCGCGGGCAGGUGGUCCGUUAAGUCUUCUGUGAAAACCCGGGGCUCAACUCCGUGGACUGCAGAAGAUACUGGCGGACUAGAGAGUGGUAGAGGCAAGCGGAAUUCCUGGUGUAGCGGUGGAAUGCGUAGAUAUCAGGAAGAACACCUGUGGCGAAGGCGGCUUGCUGGGCCACUUCUGACACUCAUCCGCGAAAGCGUGGGGAGCAAACAGGAUUAGAUACCCCUGUAGUCC